RNAcentral lists this unclassified non-coding RNA (346 nucleotides) under uncultured fungus. RNAcentral describes it as "sequence contains ITS1". The stretch from base 1 to 107 matches the Rfam family "5.8S ribosomal RNA", at positions 50 to 154 of the family's 154-position model. Lineage: Eukaryota; Fungi. The record is from RNAcentral.
AAAGUGCGAUAAGCACUGUGAAUUGCAGAAUUCAGCGAAUCAGCAGAUCUCUUAACGCAUAAGGUGCUAGGUGGACUUGUCCGCCUGGCAGGCAUAUCUCAGCAUUGUAUUAAUUGCAGUCAUGACUUGUCAUUCAAUUGAUCUCUCGCUUGCGAGUUGAUUAUUUGAGUGUCCUGCUUUGACCCGCAUUUUUGACGCGCUUCUUACGAAGUUGCGUUGUUUGAUCCGCUACUUUAACAAAUGGCGGAUGGGUACGUGCCUCGCAUUAUUAAAACUUGUUUUAAUGUAAUGGCCAGAGGUAAAAACCAAUCAAUCUGAAAUAUGUCAGGCUACCCGCUGAACUUAA